This 475-nucleotide long non-coding RNA is filed under the name Theobroma cacao (cacao). RNAcentral's name for it is "long non-coding RNA (TCAC_LNC000294)". Lineage: Eukaryota; Viridiplantae; Streptophyta; Magnoliopsida; Malvales; Malvaceae. The record is from RNAcentral.
AUCAAACCACCUAAUCAACUAAGUGCAUUCGAUUAUAUGCUAUUCUAUUCAUGGUCUACCCUAAAUUCGUCAAGGUUAAACUUAGGUUUCUAAUUCAAUUUAAUUGGUGAUUAGGCAAUUAGAAGUAUAAAGAACAUAAUGGAAUAAAUAACUUAAAACCAUCAAACAUAAGCAAAAGAGAGAUAAAUAGUUCAAAUUACGUAUUGAGUUUAAUUAUAAUCUUAAAUAACUAAAUUAGUUCUCCAUAAUAUCACAAAUCAUUACCAAAUAAAGUUUAAACAUUGAAACCAAACCAAGAAAAAUAAAGAAUAACAAAAAGAAUAAAGAAACUCCGAGAGUUGAAAUCUUGAUCUCCAAAUCUUCUUGAAUCUUUCAAUUUUCUUCUUAACUCUAAUGAGACUUUUCUUCAAUGAUUUUAUAGCUAAAUCUUACUCUAAAUCUUGUGUUUUUCGUUCUUCUAAAAGUCCUUUGAAAG